This 1062-nucleotide long non-coding RNA is filed under the name Mytilus galloprovincialis (Mediterranean mussel). The record is from RNAcentral. Lineage: Eukaryota; Metazoa; Mollusca; Bivalvia; Mytilida; Mytilidae.
CUCUGACACAGUAACUGCGCUACAGAAGCAUCAAUUAUACAUUAUAAUGAUAGAUGACAAAACAAGUAAAAACAAGUGAAACUGCGAGCUACUGCUCACUGAUGAUACCCCCGCCGCAAGUGGAAAAUAUUAAUAGUGUAAAAAUAUGCAAGUGUUCGGUAAACAGGAAGUUGUCGAGUGAUGAAUCCGAGAACGCAUCACACGGUAUAGCUGACUUAUAUAAAUCCUGAAACCAAAUUUCAGAAAUCCUUGUAUUGUAGUUCCUUAGAAAAAUGUGACGAAAAUUUUCAACUUGGCUAUCAUGUGUAAAAUCAUACAAGUGUUCGGUAAACAGGAAGUUGUCAAGUGAUCAAUCUGAAAACACAUCACACGGUAUAGCUGACUCAGAUAAACCCUGAAACCAAAUUUCAGAAAUCCUUGUAUUGUAGUUCCUGAGAAAAAUGUGACGAAAACUUUCAACUUGGCUAUCAUGUGUAAAAUCAUUCAAGUGUUCGGUAAACAGGAAGUUGUCAAGUGAUCAAUCUGAAAACGCAUCACACGGUAUGUGACAAAAGUUUCAUGGGACGGGCUGACUGACGGACGGACUGACAGACAGACAGAGGUAAAACAGUAUACCCCCCCUUUUUUAAAGCGGGGGUAUAAUUAUCUUAUAUAUUGAACUAUAAGUUUUCAAAUUAUUAUAUAUUAUAGACAAAAUUUUUGAAAUUUUCAAUUGCUUUAACAAUUUCAUCCUCUGUUUUUUCAGAGUUAAGAUUACAAUUAACUAACAGUCCUGAACUUGAAAUUCAAUACAGAAAUUACUCAAAAAUAUAAUUAAUUAGAUAUAAUUGAUCAGGUUUGACGGAAAUAAUUGGUUAAAACAUUUCCAACAAAUUUUCUUUUGUUAUUGUAGUAGAUGGAUUCCUAUAAAGAAUAUCUAAGGUUGUGAUGUUUACCAAUAGUAAUAAAACAUAGUCAAGAGAGUUUUUUUUAAACAAUUAUAUUUUCAAUUAUAAUGUAAUGAAAUAUAUCUAUAAUGAAUAAUAAAAAUUAGUCACACAUAUGUAAUCAAUUAUUGGGUUC